This 410-nucleotide ribosomal RNA is filed under the name uncultured bacterium. RNAcentral's name for it is "bacterial SSU rRNA". It matches the Rfam family "Bacterial small subunit ribosomal RNA", at positions 355 to 774 of the family's 1533-position model. The record is from RNAcentral.
UCGAGAAUCUUCGGCAAUGGGCGCAAGCCUGACCGAGCGACGCCGCGUGGAGGAUGAAGGCCUUCGGGUUGUAAACUCCUGUCGAGGGGGAGGAAGCCGCAAGGUUGACCGAUCCCUGGAGGAAGCACGGGCUAAGUUCGUGCCAGCAGCCGCGGUAAGACGAACCGUGCGAACGUUAUUCGGAAUCACUGGGCUUAAAGCGCGUGUAGGCGGAUCGCCGCGUCGGCUGCUGAAAUCCCCCGGCUCAACCGGGGAACGGGCACCGAUACGGGCGGUCUCGAGGGGGGUAGGGGGACCUGGAACUUCCGGUGGAGCGGUGAAAUGCGUUGAGAUCGGAAGGAACGCCCGUGGCGAAAGCGAGGUCCUGGACCCUUUCUGACGCUGAGACGCGAAAGCCAGGGGAGCGAACG